This 557-nucleotide long non-coding RNA is filed under the name Prunus persica (peach). Its description in RNAcentral is "long non-coding RNA (PPER_LNC005925)". The record is from RNAcentral. Lineage: Eukaryota; Viridiplantae; Streptophyta; Magnoliopsida; Rosales; Rosaceae.
AAAAACAAUGUGUGGUGGACCCUACAAAGAUGUCCUCAAAUAAGCUUAGUUUAUAUAUAGGGCUAACGACAAAGACUCCCUAAAGGUUUGGGGUCAUUCUCAAUAUGGGUCAUGAGUUUCAAUUUCAUCAAUUUACACCCCAGUGUUUUAAACUCUGACCAAUUUAAAUACUCUGUUAAGUUGACCGUUUGGUCAAACGUUAUGACGUGUACACUGUAGGACCUACCUAUUUAUUAAUCCAUAAAAAAAUGAUAAAAUGAUUUAAAAAAAUAUUUAAAAAAUUAAAAAAACCCAGCCCCUCCCCUGCCCAACAACCCAACGCCCACGGGUUCACACACCCUCUCUCGCCUACGAACAUACAACCACAGCGGCAUCACAUACAACUAAUUUCUUUUCUGUUCAAAUUAGGGGGGUUGUUUAAUCCCCAAAUUCAUGAACUAUUGGACAUCUUUCUUCUCUCUUUCUCUCACCUGCCUCACUCUCUAUUGGUUGACCACUUUCUAGAUCUGAUGCCAUUGUCCCUUUUCCCUUCUCUUUCUUAUUUUUCUAUUUGCCUG